CGCUUUUUAUCUGUCCUCAGAGAGAGCUUUCUGCCUCUGCCUGUGGAUGUCAGAGCGGUCUGCGCUGGCGAGGAGGAAGACCGGGGGCAGCAGCAAGCCGGCAAGACCGCGUCUUCUUCUCCCCAGCUCUAGGAGCCCCGAGAAAGCGAGGACCUUCCCCCCUAAAACACACACGGCACGCAAGAUAUUUGCUAUCAAGCUGCCACCAUUUGGUAAAAAGCUCUAUGCCGUGCAUAAUCUAAAGGGAUCAGGAGCCGCAUCCUCGAAUCAUCUUGUCACUUUCUACUGAAAUGGGAUUUUUUUUUUUUUUUUUCCUCCUGACAUCGCUCUGGAAAUUGCCGAUGGCUUUACAUCUUCAUAGAGGCUAAAGAGCCUUUCGUGAGAACGAAGCGAUUUACAAUGCAAAUAGAGGCCUGUGAAGGGAUGGAUGCUUCUCACUCUUAACGCAGCUUGACGCACCUUAAUAGCUGGUUUUAUUUUCUGGUAUUAACAGACGAAUUGUUGGCUACCGCUGCCGGAAAUUACUGGCUGAAAGAAAAAGUUCGGAAUAAACUUUGAAGGCAACAGAUCUCUUUCGGAUGUUAUUAGCUGCACAUACACACAGACACACAAACCAGGUCACAAUUGCAUAAAAGGAUGAAUAUUUUAAAGCAGCACUGGUACUCUUGGAGGAAACAACACGCCUGUUUGUCAGAAAGAAUCUGGAUUCUAGCAAGGAAAAAAAAAAAAAAAAGCUUUGAGGGAAGCGAGUUGUUAUCUUUG
Long non-coding RNA from Harpia harpyja (harpy eagle), 762 nucleotides. RefSeq lists it as uncharacterized. The record is from RefSeq and is a predicted model, not a curated record. Lineage: Eukaryota; Metazoa; Chordata; Aves; Accipitriformes; Accipitridae. The transcript is spliced from 2 exons.